GAAAACAGUGCCCUUUCUGUGGAAAAACCAAAGCCAAAACCGGGCUUCGACCACAUUACUUUGACUCGAUCGGCCCGUCGCGAUUGUCUAGUCGCGAUGAAAUGGAAGGCGAAGUUAACCGGGAUCCAAUUGUACUCGAUCACUAAUUCUGUCGCAACUUCCUAAAUCUUUGGGCGGAUGUUUUCCGUGAUGAGUUUGUCCAAAUCCAGAAGACGCUCGACGCGUUCUAGCAAUCUGGAGAAACGCGAGAGGAAGGAACGGGUGGGGGUUUGCCGAAUGGGAACUCUCAAGGAAGUGACGUGCGUUGAAAUCUCGGCCAAAAGAUUAAAGAAAUGAAGAAGGGUCGUUCAGUUCCCACCAUCGGUCAAAAGUGCGACGCCAAUCUGCCACGAGGCAGCGCACGAGUCGCCCUCAUCGCCGUGGGCCGUCCCCGAGUCAAAGACGAAGCCAGCCGCCCUCUCCUCCGCCCGCCACCCCCCCCCCCCCGGCGAAGUCAAAGGUCGAAAACUCGGUGUUCCCGACGUGUUUUCUCUCACUUUCCAGGAAAAUGCAAAUUGACCCCACCUGCAUCAUCAUAUAAAGCACCUCAAGAUCCCUAACCCGACGCCUGCACAAUCCUCCAUCCCGACCCUCUUCUCCCCGUUCCGGUUCUCGUUCCGAUCUCCGCCCUCGCCUCGCGGUUCUGCUGCUUUUUGGAGCGGUUUCUCGGCACGAUGAACGCGAUGAGGUCCUGCUUCGUGCCAGUCAUUGUUGGGUUCAUGUUCUUGACUCUUCUUCAGCUCGGCUACGGACAGUCCGUGGUGGCUCCGUCGCCCGCGCCGGAAGCUCCUUCCAACGACGGGAAGGCGAUUGAUCAAGGCCUUGCGUACAUCCUCCUGUUAGUUGCCCUCGCGAUCACAUAUCUCUUGCACUAGAUCCUCCUCUUACGUGCUGCGGCGGCGAUCCGACCAUCCGAGCCGAUUCUUUGUUUGGUUUCUUCCCUGCGAUGGACCUCCAUUAGGUUGAAUUCGCAGCGUGUUGUCACCGAUUUUCGUGGGUGCUCUGCUAUGUCCUUGUAAUUAAAGUUAUGUCUCGCGAGAAAUUAAAUUCUGUAGCCAAUUUUUGCUAAUUCCAUAUUGGAUUGAUUUA
Molecule: long non-coding RNA, 1128 nt
Organism: Syzygium oleosum
Lineage: Eukaryota; Viridiplantae; Streptophyta; Magnoliopsida; Myrtales; Myrtaceae
Exons: 2
Source: RefSeq, a predicted model, not a curated record